Long non-coding RNA from Triticum dicoccoides, 2230 nucleotides. RefSeq lists it as uncharacterized. The transcript has 12 exons. The record is from RefSeq and is a predicted model, not a curated record. NCBI's taxonomy places the organism in Eukaryota, Viridiplantae, Streptophyta, Magnoliopsida, Poales, Poaceae.
CUGCCUACGACUACAGAGUACAGACUACGGCGGAUCGACUCCUCUCCCCUCAGAAAAUUACUAAUUCCCAUGCCUCAGCUACAGACAGCGCCGGAUCCUCUCCUCUCCGCUCGAGAAAAUAACUAAUUGCCCCUGCCUCACAGUGAUCUCCAGCCAAUCUUCAUGUGAAGGUCGCUCCUCACGUACGUCUGCUAGCCAGCGAUCCCCAUCAAAUCUCGGCUUGAAUCCCGCUCAUCCCGCAUGGCCACCGGUCUUCAUCGCCAUCGACACCACCCUGGGAGCUAGGGCGCAUGCCCGACCUUGGUUCCAUUGCCACGCACCCCGGCCCGGGUCGUCGAGGAGCAAGCCGAUUCAACCCAUGCGCAUGUUUGUCGAUCUCCUUAGGCAUGCCCUUUGGAUGCUGAGACUUGGGACGCGGGUUGUUCGUUGUUUAGUGGCCGGCCGCCCAGAUCCUUAGAUCAUCGAGCAGGGAACUAUCGAUGGAGCCUCUGUCCGCUAUUGUUCUGCUCCACGACCGUUGCCGGUGGCGAGGAGUCCGGCUUGAUCAGCGACGUCCCCCAUGACAACACCUUCAGGUUAAAUUUUUGCCUCGACUCUAAUGGAAAGCUUCUACUGGGUGAGGAUGGUGACCUACGAUCUAAGCUGGCCACACUUUGGAAUUGGAGGUACUGGACCAAUUGGAUGCCCGCCCAGUGAUCUUGGUUGUUCUUCCCUUGCAAAAUACACAAACGCCUCAGAUUUACACCUCCUAUAGGCGCUCGACGACUGGACACCAUGGCAGCCAUCUUGGUUGUUCAACCCAUGAUGUAUACCCAGGCGCUUCAGAUUUACCACUCCUGCCACACAUCUAUCACCAGCUGGUCCAUAUAGAGGAGGAGAUAAGUUACAGGGCGUGGGGUGCUCUUCUUGGAAGACGGUUAGCGGAGCGUGGAAUUAUAGUCGCUUGCAUUGAUUAUAGAAAUUUGCCCCAAGGAACAAUAAGUGACAUGGUCAGUGAUGCUUUUGAGGCAUUUUCAUUUAUUUGUGAUACUAUUGCUAGCUAUGGAGGAGAUCCUAAUCAGAACUAUGCGCCGCACUUGAAUAUUUGAUCCUUUUGGGCGGUGAUUCUAUCCAAAGUCGUCGUUGUGACGUCGGUGAGCAACCUCGGGCACCACACUGAGUGCUACCGCCUCCCCACCACUCAUGACGCCAGGCUGUUCUACUUCUUCGAAUUCAGGUGGCACAAGGAGGACCCAGUGGUGAUCUGGCUGAUGGGAAGGCCCGGCUACUGCAGCGAGCUAGCCCUCUUCUACGAGAACGGCGCCUUCCACAUAGCAGACAACAUGUCGCUACUCUAGAAUGAGUUUGGUUGGGAUCAGCUCUGUCCGUGGUGGUCUCAUGGAUGUAGUGGUGACACCUCUCCUAGUAUACAUGUCCAAAAUCAUUAUUUUGUGGGAAUUCUCGCAGACUUUGCCUUUGUUCCGGGAGGCGUGCAACGACGGCAUGAAGAACAACAUCGAGACCAUACGUUCGGUUUCUCUGUGCCCGCUCUGCUGCCAUCCACACCCGCACUAUCCCAGCUCGUGUGCCGGCUCGAGGAGAAGCUCAGGCCGCCACCACACAAAGGGAGAGGAACCCAAGAAGAAUCUAUCCCGCCUUACUGUCCAUGACCCGACGACAGAGACAGCUACUUCGAGCCUAGGUGAGUAGCCGCCAACCCUGCAUUUCGAGCCUAGGUAACCAAGUUUGUGUCUACUUCUCUGAUUAGUUGCUUAUGCUUCAUGGUCUUUGUGGGAAACACAACAUGAUGCCUUGCUGGUUCCUGAGCAAGGCCUUUUGGGACCGAUCUCUCUAGCGUUAAAGAAAGCAAGAUUGAUGCUCUGUUUUCUCUAUUUUUGUUGGGUUGGAGCAGAGUGCGUGGGUUACCGAUCCCAUAUGCCAGUGUAUAGCAAGAACAAAAAAACUUUAGUUGAUUUGACUUUUAACCUAAAUUUAUUUAGGAAACUUAUACUAACCUUUAUCUUAGUUAGUUGCACCAGCUUGCAUGUAUUUAAGUAACUAGAGAAGUUUGGUCCUUUCUUAGCCAUAUAAUCAUAGGACAAAUAUGUCGUGGUUGCAAUUGUUAUCCAGGUGAUGUUUUUAGGAGCUAGAUUAAAUUCAGUACAGUGAUUUGGCCAUCGACUGUGUGGAAAUAUCUACAGCUUUUUGUUUGAGAUGGGGAUAUUUGUUAGAUUAGCAGAUGCACAUUUAA